AUUGAACGCUGGCGGCAUGCCUUACGCAUGCAAGUCGAACGGUAACAGGUUAAGCUGACGAGUGGCGAACGGGUGAGUAAUAUAUCGGAACGUGCCCAGUCGUGGGGGAUAACGUAGCGAAAGCUACGCUAAUACCGCAUACGAUCUACGGAUGAAAGCGGGGGAUCGCAAGACCUCGCGCGAUUGGAGCGGCCGAUAUCAGAUUAGGUUGUUGGUGGGUAAAGGCUCACCAAGCCAACGAUCUGUAGCUGGUCUGAGAGGACGACCAGCCACACUGGAACUGAGACACGGUCCAGACUCCUACGGGAGGCAGCAGUGGGGAAUUUUGGACAAUGGACGCAAGUCUGAUCCAGCCAUUCCGCGUGCAGGAUGAAGGCCCUCGGGUUGUAAACUGCUUUUGUACGGAACGAAAAGGUCUCUCUUAAUACGGGGGACUCAUGACGGUACCGUAAGAAUAAGCACCGGCUAACUACGUGCCAGCAGCCGCCGUAA
RNAcentral lists this ribosomal RNA (492 nucleotides) under uncultured bacterium. RNAcentral's name for it is "partial 16S ribosomal RNA". It matches the Rfam family "Bacterial small subunit ribosomal RNA", at positions 30 to 523 of the family's 1533-position model. The record is from RNAcentral.